RNAcentral lists this long non-coding RNA (594 nucleotides) under Vulpes vulpes (red fox). Its description in RNAcentral is "lncRNA (ENSVVUG00000017419.1)". The record is from RNAcentral. Lineage: Eukaryota; Metazoa; Chordata; Mammalia; Carnivora; Canidae.
GGAAAACCUUGAGGCUUCGCCCACAUGGAUUAAGUAAAAUGCUUUAAGUGACUUUUGGGUACUUAUAAAAAACAAUUUACAUAAAUGGAUGUGCUGUUCGAAGAGGGGAGAGAGGGUGGUUUUGAUUUCUUCUAAACUUUCUUUUCCCUUUAGUUUAAUAGCUGCAGAGGCCUCAAAGAAGCCACUCUUUUUAAUAAAACCGGCUUGUAAAUGUAUUGAGACAGACUCCAAUUGACCCUAUUUCAGGUGGCUCUCUGGGGCCUCCCACAUCCAGCCGCCUGAGGUUCCAGAUUCCGGGGGCCAGAGGAGCCCCUCCUCCGUGACUCACGCUACCUGCACCUGAGAUGCCUCUACUCACGCUGGUGCAUUGGAGCGCUACAGGUAAUUGACCAUUCUCUGAAAUCAGUGCCCUAAUGAACCUGUGUCCUGGUGUGUUCUCUGUCUCCUCCCACCAGAAAUCCUCUGGAAUAGGAAGCCGACUGACUUGGGUUCAAAUCGUGACUGUCACUUUCUUAAACUUGGACAAAUUAAUCAACUUAUCUCUGCCACCAUCUGUUUUCUUCACUUGUAAAGUAGGUAUAAAAAAAGGGUACU